GGGAUUAGAUACCCCACUAUGCACAGCCCUAAACUUUGAUAGUUAAGUACACCCACUAUCCGCCCGGGUACUACAAGCCCUAGCUUAAAAUCCAAAGGACUUGGCGGUGCUUUAGAUCCACCUAGAGGAGCCUGUCCUAGAACCGACAACCCCCGUUAAACCUCACCCUCCCUUGUUUAUUUCCCGCCUAUAUACCGCCGUCGUCAGCUUACCCUGUGAAGGAUUAAUAGUAAGCAAAGCCAGCACAGCUCAAAACGCCAGGUCGAGGUGUAGCGCAUGAGAGGGGAAGAGAUGGGCUACAUUCCCUAACCCAGGUAAUACGAAAAAUGCAAUGAAAAAAGCAUUAGAAGGAGGAUUUAGCAGUAAGAAGAAAACAGAGUGUUCUACUGAAACUGGCCCUGAAGCGCGCACACACCGCCCGUCACCCUCAA
Molecule: ribosomal RNA, 431 nt
Filed under: Strongylura notata (redfin needlefish)
Lineage: Eukaryota; Metazoa; Chordata; Actinopteri; Beloniformes; Belonidae
Description: partial 12S ribosomal RNA
Rfam family: Bacterial small subunit ribosomal RNA
Source: RNAcentral